ACAUUUAAAAGAUGAUUCAACAAUAUGCAAAUGAAGGUGACUUCUAAAGAAGUGAGUGAGUGUCAGUGAGAGACAGAAGAGCUCCAUCAGCUCAGCUUCAACAUCAACCAUGUUCUCUGGAGCUCUGAUACUGCUGCUGGCAGCUGGAUCCUGUGUGAACAGUAUUGAUCUCAUCCAGCCAGACUCAAUGGUUGUGCAGCCUGGACAGUCUUUGACCAUCACCUGUCAGGUCUCUGGUUAUUCUCUGACUGAUAACAGCUAUGCAACCGGUUGGAUCAGACAGUGUGAAGGAAAACCAAUGGACUGGAUUUCCCAUCAGUGGGGAACAAGUGGCCUUGUUCAAAAUAAUGCUCUGAAGAACAAGUUCAGCUACAGCAGAGACACUUCUGCUCGAACAGUGACUCUAAACGGACAGAACGUGCAGCCUGAAGACUCUGCUGUGUAUUACUGUGUCAGACAGCCAGACAGCCACAACAACACAAACCAUCAGUAGACCUGAACAAAAACCCCUCAGUGCCUGAACACUUGUAACAUGAAGCCACCAGAGGAGGAGCCCUCAGACCACUAAUGAUUUCAACACCAGCUCACUGUCACACUGAAGACAGAAACAGACCUAAAACCCCCCUGAGA
Non-coding RNA from Sebastes umbrosus (honeycomb rockfish), 630 nucleotides. Lineage: Eukaryota; Metazoa; Chordata; Actinopteri; Perciformes; Sebastidae. The record is from the annotation of a RefSeq genome assembly.